GUCAGUAUAGCUCAAUUGGUAGAGCGCUAGUCUUGUAAACUAGAUGUUGUGAGUUCGAGUCUCACUUCUGAUA
RNAcentral lists this transfer RNA (73 nucleotides) under Rickettsiales bacterium. RNAcentral describes it as "tRNA-Thr". It matches the Rfam family "tRNA". Rfam says of the family: Transfer RNA (tRNA) molecules are approximately 80 nucleotides in length. Lineage: Bacteria; Pseudomonadati; Pseudomonadota; Alphaproteobacteria; Rickettsiales. The record is from RNAcentral.